RNAcentral lists this long non-coding RNA (585 nucleotides) under Nicotiana benthamiana. RNAcentral describes it as "long non-coding RNA (NBEN_LNC017890)". The record is from RNAcentral. Lineage: Eukaryota; Viridiplantae; Streptophyta; Magnoliopsida; Solanales; Solanaceae.
UAAAUAUUAUUUUUCCCUUUUUCUUUUUGUAUUUUCUCUCACAUAAUUACCGUGUAUCUGCAAACCCCAAUACAAUCUCUCUCUAUCUGUUUGCAUACAAUCAGACUCUUUUCUCUCACAAACCCUAGUUCCUUAACUCUUCUUUCACCCAAAUUCUCAAUUUUCUGCUCCGCGUCGCCAACGUUAUCAUCAGCUAUUGUCUGAGCCGGAAUAUGAGCGACCGCACUCACGUACUUCACAUAUUGCAUCCACGGUGGAGAAACCUCCUGGGCCGUCGGAGGCAAUUAGGAGGUCCGGCGACCCAAUUGGAGGUGUGUUCAUGUAUCAAUGGAAUAAAACAGGUAUAAAAGAGUAAAUUUGGAUGAAAUAUGUUGAUGAAACACAGGGAUCAAAAUAUUAUAUGAAAAUAUUUAUGAGUCUUGGAGAGAUUGGCUGGUGGGUUACAAGAUCCAGAAAAGCUAGAAGUGGGGAAGAGAGAAGAUGAAGAAGAAGCAGAGAGAGAAACCCAGCUAGAAGUGUUUUCGAAUGUAUUCUUCAGCUGUAUUCACUUGUAUUCAGGUUUAAUCGGUUGUAUUUAACUAUUUU